AGGAAUGUUCUCUUUCAUGAAUCAAUUUUUCCUUUUAAAUCUGUGCCUCCUUCUGCUCCUCCUCCUGCCUCUUCUUUUCCCUUUAUUCCUUCUGGAGAACAUGAUGAUGCCUCUGAUUCUCCCAUUCCUCUCUCUCCUCCCUCUUCUCCCACAUCUGUGCAGCUGCCUUUUCCUACUCCUUUUAGUCCUGCUAAUUCCCCUUCUGUUUUAGUUCCUUCUCCCUCUGUUCCUGCUCCCAGAAAGUCUCACGGACCACAUAAUCCUCCUUCCUAUCUUAAGGAUUAUGUUUGUCAACUCCCUACCUUCUCUGGCUCAUCUUCCUCCUCUUUGGAAUCUGAGCCUCUCUAUUAU
RNAcentral lists this long non-coding RNA (351 nucleotides) under Nicotiana benthamiana. RNAcentral's name for it is "long non-coding RNA (NBEN_LNC032873)". Lineage: Eukaryota; Viridiplantae; Streptophyta; Magnoliopsida; Solanales; Solanaceae. The record is from RNAcentral.